UACGUAGGGUGCAAGCGUUGUCCGGAAUUAUUGGGCGUAACGAGCUCGUAGGCGGUCUGUCGCGUCGGAUGUGAAAAUCCAGGGCUCAACCCUGGACCUGCAUUCGAUACGGGCAGACUAGAGUUCGGUAGGGGAGACUGGAAUUCCUGGUGUAGCGGUGAAAUGCGCAGAUAUCAGGAGGAACACCGGUGGCGAAGGCGGGUCUCUGGGCCGAAACUGACGCUGAGGAGCGAAAGCGUGGGGAGCAAACAGG
Molecule: ribosomal RNA, 253 nt
Filed under: uncultured bacterium
Lineage: Bacteria
Description: partial 16S ribosomal RNA
Rfam family: Bacterial small subunit ribosomal RNA
Source: RNAcentral